Molecule: long non-coding RNA, 75 nt
Organism: Etheostoma cragini (Arkansas darter)
Lineage: Eukaryota; Metazoa; Chordata; Actinopteri; Perciformes; Percidae
Exons: 3
Source: RefSeq, a predicted model, not a curated record
UUCUUUAAACCAACCCACAUCAUGUUUAGAUCAGACGCUAAAAGAGACUUUUAGUGUCAAUAAUAACAACAUGAC